CAUAAAAUCACCAGUGACUACGAAGUUUAUGUAAUAGAUUGUGUUUUAUAUAAAUUGUUACUUUUGAUGUUAGAUUAUGUAACUAUUUUGGUGAAAGUUUGCUGGUAAUUAUGUGAAGAUGCUUGUACUUCAGCUCAAGUUUCAUUUAUAUUCCAGCUCUGCUAACAUUCUCCUGUUUUUUCAUUUGUAAAUUUGUCUAGAAAAAUUGUGUCUUUGUUAUUGAAUGUUUAAUCCCACAGGCCUUGGUUAACUAAUUCAGCUGUGAAAUUCUUUUCUUUUUCAUUUUGACAGUUGCCUUGCAGAACAUAGAGAAAAUAAGACUGGGUCUGACUCAUUUUAAUUGUGCAUAGGUGAUUUUCAUUGAUGCAACAAGUGGAAGACUUUAACUUGAAAAUCAUCUGUGAAGCAGGAAGUAUACAGCCAACAUAUUUACUCACAUGUUACAGACUAUUUCUAUUUUAAACAAUUGCUUUGUUUUUUCUUUGUCUAAACACAUUUAUCAGAUGUGGUACUUUGCCUGAAAGACCUGCAGUCUUUUUUCAUCUUCAGUGUUGAAGAUGAACUUGGUGUUUGACAUGUACAGUUCAGUGCAGCGAACAAAUUCAAAUAAUCUUCAAGAAAUAAUAAAGCGUUGACAGUGUUGACAUUCAAACCUAUUUUGUUGUUGUUGUUGUUGUUGUUGUUGUUGUUGUUGUUGUUGUUGUUGUUGUUGUUGUUGUUGUUGUUGUGCAACAGGGCCAUUCAAGUCUAGCUCUGUCUUAUGUCUUAGGUUUCCAAGUGUGGAUUGUAAGACUUUGAAGUCAAAGAACUGUAAACAACACAUUCAACAUAACAGAUAUUUGGCAAACUGAUUGCAGUUGUAUGGAAAAGAGUGACCAGCAGCUACAGUACAUUCAGAAGAGUGACAAUCAUGCGAUACGUGCAGAUUCCUGUGACAAUACCCUGAACAACACCUUUAAAUUUCCCUCAGUUUGUGGGAUCAUUCACAGCAGCAGAGGAAUUCAUUUUUAGAGGAAAGCAUGGCUGCUGUUGUUGCAGACAGGUGAGCAAUUAGGCUGAACAUAGGCGUGCAUCUUCCACGUGGCUCUGGUGACUCGGAAGCCCACAAAACCCACGGCAGCAAUCGCUAACGCACCCUAUUAACCAGUCAUCACGCACCUGCAGCCGGGCAUGCUAGAGAUAAUUAGACCAUUCUGCAUACUGUGACAACUUGUGUUGAAACUCAUCCCUAAAACCCGCUCAUUAUAUAUGUGUGGCAUCCUUUGGGUACUGCAAAGCGCUGGUCUAAUUGUCACAUCAAUUUACAGCGUUUUCAAGGUAAUGUGAACGUUAACAGAAGGACAAGUAAAACGUUAAGAAGCAAUGCUUCAGCUGGUGUGUCAGCUACAAUGAAAACAGUGCCUGAGCGCAUUUCACAAACAGGCCUGUAGCCAUUGCCUUUGUCAUGCCGUUUGUCAUUUGUGCACAGGAUGUGGUAUGGAAGUGUUAUUCGAGUUCCUUAUUUCUUCCUUAUACGUUCCUUUUCUUUCUAUCUGUGUUUUUUGCUUUUAGUUGUAAAUAUUAAUCUUUGUUUAAUGUAUUUUUCAGAGAAUCUGGAAAUGAAGAAUACCGUAAAGUAAGGAUACAAAACAGGAAAUUAAAAGUUACAAGCACAAUAAAGACUAGACAUUAAAAACAGAAAUGCAGAGUGCUGUAUUUUGUGCAAAAGGUCCUGUGGGUCCGUGCAAAAUCACCUGCAUUGUGCAAAAUAAGCAGACGCAUGUAC
Molecule: long non-coding RNA, 1765 nt
Organism: Labeo rohita (rohu)
Lineage: Eukaryota; Metazoa; Chordata; Actinopteri; Cypriniformes; Cyprinidae
Exons: 3
Source: RefSeq, a predicted model, not a curated record